CCUUAAAAAUGAUUGAUCAUAAUUGGUUUCGGCCCAUUUUUAAGUAGCUUACUGCUGCUUUAAGGCU
Molecule: transfer RNA, 67 nt
Filed under: Nuttallochiton mirandus
Lineage: Eukaryota; Metazoa; Mollusca; Polyplacophora; Chitonida; Mopaliidae
Description: tRNA-Arg
Source: RNAcentral